Molecule: ribosomal RNA, 543 nt
Filed under: uncultured bacterium
Lineage: Bacteria
Description: bacterial SSU rRNA
Rfam family: Bacterial small subunit ribosomal RNA
Source: RNAcentral
UGAGGAAUAUUGGUCAAUGGACGGAAGUCUGAACCAGCCAAGUAGCGUGCAGGAUGACGGCCCUAUGGGUUGUAAACUGCUUUUGUAUGGGGAUAAAGUUAGGGAUGUGUCCCUAUUUGCAGGUACCAUACGAAUAAGGACCGGCUAAUUCCGUGCCAGCAGCCGCAGUAAUACGGAAGGUCCAGGCGUUAUCCGGAUUUAUUGGGUUUAAAGGGAGCGUAGGCCGUGGAUUAAGCGUGUUGUGAAAUGUAGACGCUCAACGUCUGAAUUGCAGCGCGAACUGGUUCACUUGAGUAUGCACAACGUAGGCGGAAUUCGUCGUGUAGCGGUGAAAUGCUUAGAUAUGACGAAGAACUCCGAUUGCGAAGGCAGCUUACGGGAGCACAACUGACGCUGAAGCUCGAAGGUGCGGGUAUCAAACAGGAUUAGAUACCCUGGUAGUCCGCACAGUAAACGAUGGAUGCCCGUUGUUAGUUCACCUAAGAAUUAGCGACCAAGCGAAAGCAUUAAGCAUCCCACCUGGGGAGUACGCCGGCAACGGUG